RNAcentral lists this ribosomal RNA (2666 nucleotides) under Bacteroides thetaiotaomicron. RNAcentral describes it as "bacterial LSU rRNA". It matches the Rfam family "Bacterial large subunit ribosomal RNA". Lineage: Bacteria; Pseudomonadati; Bacteroidota; Bacteroidia; Bacteroidales; Bacteroidaceae. The record is from RNAcentral.
AAAGAAAGUAAGCAAGGGCGCAUGGCGGAUGCCUUGGCUCUCGGAGGCGAUGAAGGACGUGAUAAGCUGCGAUAAGCUCUGGGUAGGUGCAAAUAACCUUUGAUCCAGAGAUUUCCGAAUGGGACAACCCGGCAUUCUGAAGGAAUGUCAUCCAUCUUUGAUGGAAGCUAACGCAGGGAACUGAAACAUCUUAGUACCUGUAGGAAAAGAAAAUAAUAAUGAUUCCCCUAGUAGUGGCGAGCGAACGGGGAAUAGCCCAAACCACCCAUGUUACGGCAUGUGUGGGGUUGUAGGACCACGAUAUCGCAAGACAUUUGAUGAGUAGAAUCCUCUGGAAAGUGGAACCAUAGACGGUGAUAGUCCGGUAUACGAAGUCAAAUUAAGCGUAGUGGUAUCCUGAGUAGCGCGGGACACGAGAAAUCUUGCGUGAAUCUGCCGGGACCAUCCGGUAAGGCUAAAUACUCCCGAGAGACCGAUAGCGAACCAGUACUGUGAAGGAAAGGUGAAAAGCACUUCGAAUAGAAGAGUGAAAUAGUCCCUGAAACCGUGCGCCUACAAGCGGUCGGAGCUGCUUAAGCAGUGACGGCGUGCCUUUUGCAUAAUGAACCUACGAGUUACUUUUUCCGGCAAGGUUAAGCAUCUUGAGAUGUGCAGCCGAAGCGAAAGCGAGUCUGAACAGGGCGUCGAGUCGGAAGGAGUAGACGCGAAACCAAGUGAUCUACCCUUGGUCAGGUUGAAGGUUAGGUAACACUAACUGGAGGACCGAACCGAUAAGCGUUGAAAAGCUUCCGGAUGAACUGAGGGUGGGGGUGAAAGGCUAAUCAAACUUGGAGAUAGCUCGUACUCCCCGAAAUGCAUUUAGGUGCAGCCUUGUGAGUUACUAAUGUGAGGUAGAGCGACUGAUAAGAUGCGAGGGCUUCACCGCCUAUCAAGUCUUGAUAAACUCCGAAUGCGCAUUAGUUCUAUCACAGGAGUGAGGGCAUGGGUGCUAAGGUCCAUGUCCUAAAGGAGAAGAAUCCAGACCAUCAGCUAAGGUCCCCAAAUAAACACUAAGUUGAACUAACGAAGUCAGAUUGCUAAGACAGCUAGGAUGUUGGCUUGGAAGCAGCCAUUCAUUUAAAGAGUGCGUAACAGCUCACUAGUCGAGGAGUUUGGCGUGGAUAAUAAUCGGGCAUUAAGUGUUUUACCGAAGCUAUGGGAUCAGUAAUGAUCGGUAGGGGAGCAUUCCACUCUGCGUCGAAGGUGAAGCGUGAGCUUUGCUGGAGCGUGUGGAAAAGCAAAUGUAGGUAUAAGUAACGAUAAAGGGGGUGAGAAACCCCCUCGCCGAAAGACUAAGGUUUCCUGAUCAACGCUAAUCGGAUCAGGGUUAGUCGGGUCCUAAGGCUCAGCCGAACGGUGAGGCCGAUGGCAGAACAGGUUAAUAUUCCUGUACUACCUUAAGGAGUGACGUGGAGACGGAGCAGUGACAGCGCCGCGGACUGACGGAAUAGUCCGUUGAAGGGUGUAGAUGUUGAUCAUCCCAGGCAAAUCCGGGAUGAGAGUCGAACCUGAUAGUAUGGAGCGUUCUUCGGAACAAUCCAAUAGUGCGUGUAAGCAUACUCCCAAGAAAAUCCGCUAAACUUAAUCCUUAAGGUACCCGUACCGCAAACGGACACACGUAGUCGGGUUGAAUAUACUAAGGCGCUUGAGUGAUUCACGGUUAAGGAACUAGGCAAAUUGACCCUGUAACUUCGGGAUAAAGGGUCCCAACGAGAGUUGGGCGCAGAGAAUAGGUCCAGGCAACUGUUUAACAAAAACACAGGGCUGUGCCAAAUUGAAAGAUUACGUAUACAGCCUGACACCUGCCCGGUGCUGGAAGGUUAAGAGGAGAUGUCAUCGCAAGAGAAGCAUUGAAUUGAAGCCCCAGUAAACGGCGGCCGUAACUAUAACGGUCCUAAGGUAGCGAAAUUCCUUGUCGGGUAAGUUCCGACCUGCACGAAUGGUGUAAUGAUCUGGACACUGUCUCAACCGUGAGCUCAGUGAAAUUGUAGUAUCGGUGAAGAUGCCGAUUACCCGCGAUGGGACGAAAAGACCCCGUGAACCUUUACUAUAGCUUAACAUUGAAUUUGGGUAAUUGAUGUGUAGGAUAGGCCGGAGACUUNNACAAGUCGAUCAGGUAGGAAACUAGAGCAUAGUGAUCCGGUGUUUCCGUAUGGAAGGGACAUCGCUCAAAGGAUAAAAGGUACUCCGGGGAUAACAGGCUGAUCCCUCCCAAGAGCUCAUAUCGACGGAGGGGUUUGGCACCUCGAUGUCGGCUCGUCACAUCCUGGGGCUGGAGAAGGUCCCAAGGGUUGGGCUGUUCGCCCAUUAAAGUGGCACGCGAGCUGGGUUCAGAACGUCGUGAGACAGUUCGGUCUCUAUCUAUCGUGGGCGUAUGAAAUUUGCGUGGCUCUGACACUAGUACGAGAGGACCGUGUUGGACUGACCGCUGGUUUACCAGUUGUGCCGCCAGGUGCAUUGCUGGGUAUCUAAGUCGGGAUUGGAUAAGUGCUGAAAGCAUCUAAGUACGAAGCCAGCCACAAGAUUAGAUUUCUUAGGGUCGUUAAAGACGAUGACGUUGAUAGGAUGCAGGUGUAAAGGUGGUAACAUCAAAGCCGAGCAUUACUAAUUGCCCGUUCACUUUCUUU